Molecule: ribosomal RNA, 227 nt
Filed under: uncultured bacterium
Lineage: Bacteria
Description: partial 16S ribosomal RNA
Rfam family: Bacterial small subunit ribosomal RNA
Source: RNAcentral
UACGUAGGGUGCGAGCGUUAAUCGGAAUUACUGGCGUAAAGCGUGCGCAGGCGGUUUGUAAGCCAGAUGUGAAAUCCCCGGCUUAACCUGGAAUGGCAUUUGGACUGCAAGGCUGGAGUACGGCAGAGGAGACUGGAAUUCCGUGGUGUAGCAGUGAAAUGCGUAGAGAUCAGGAGGAAUACCGAGUGGCGAAGGCAGGUCUCUGGCUGAUACUGACGCUCAUGCAC